GCCAUCGCGCAAAUUUCUAUUACCAGAAUUCAUACUCACUGUAGACAUUAUAGUUUGAGGAGAAAAUAACAAACAAUUUUUUACAGAAACAAGACCUCUGCUUAUAUCAUUAAAGUAGGGGGAAAAGUUGUACAAUCACUCUGCUUAUAUCAUUAAAGUAGGGGGAAAAGUAUACUACCUCCGUCCAAGUGUAUAAGGCAUGCGCGUAGUUCUAGGUUGUCAAUUUAACUAGCU
This 234-nucleotide long non-coding RNA is filed under the name Hordeum vulgare. RNAcentral describes it as "long non-coding RNA (HVUL_LNC013512)". Lineage: Eukaryota; Viridiplantae; Streptophyta; Magnoliopsida; Poales; Poaceae. The record is from RNAcentral.